CGCACGGCGUAGCAGAGGGAACCAGCCAUACCCAUAUCGGAGAAUUCGUGGGCGCGUGCGGCGGCGCGUGUGGUUCUGGCUCGCUGUCAAUCGGAGCAGAGGGCGUCUGGUGGCGGUACUUCUCGCCGUGGCCGGAACAGGAGAGAUCGAGGGAGAUGGGAGUGCUUGUAUGGGCGUUUGUGCGUGAGGAAGAGAGAGGAGGGAGCUGGUGGCGGCGGUUCGCCGCUGCUGCCCGGGAAGAGGCGGCGUAUGGCAGUGGACGGUGGCAAUCCCGGUCCCUUCUUCACACCAGUCGAGUGGAUUUGGGUAAGUUCGAUCCAUUCUGUGGAUUUGUUGAAUUGAUUCGUUUGAAUCUGUGUGGUUUAUGGUUUCUUUGAUCCAUUCUGUGGAUUUGUUGAAUUGGUUCAUUUUGAAGCAGGAGCUGCCUUGAUUUGGUGAAUUGGCUAGGAAUGGUUUUGGUUUUGGAUUAUGAACGAUGAUGGUUGAACCUGCUCUGAUACCAUGUUGAAAUUUGGUAUCGACAUAUUGUAAAAGAAUUGAGAGAUUGUAAAGAUUGUUCUUGUAUUUCUUGAUUCUUCCGUAUUACAAUGAUACUCAAUUUAUAGGUUUAAGAAUGAUCAAAAGUCAUGCAAAUCCCUAUAAUUAAGGUACUAAAGUCCUACAAUAUAUUUCUUUUGACUUUACUUGUGGUUUUUCUUGACUUUGUUAUUGAGUAUUUUCAACA
Molecule: long non-coding RNA, 724 nt
Filed under: Salvia miltiorrhiza (redroot sage)
Lineage: Eukaryota; Viridiplantae; Streptophyta; Magnoliopsida; Lamiales; Lamiaceae
Description: long non-coding RNA (SMIL_LNC000709)
Source: RNAcentral